AGGGCAUUAAAGGAUAAGUCACAAGACAGCUGCACCUGGUAAUGCCAAAAAAUAGCAGCAACUACAAACUAAGGAUGCUCCAAGCAACGAUAAUUUGUGACCCUGUGCCAAUACACACUGGGGCAGAUGAAAACAACUUGUUCCAAAGCUGCUAUUGGGGAUCUGACAUGUUUAUCUAUUUGGCCCACAUGUGGCUGUGUCUUCUAGCACUGACAGCUCCUGCAGGUUGGCAGCUUUUCAAAAGCUUGUCAGCCCUUGAUAGCAUUCCUAUUCCUGCAGAGAUGGGCGGGUCGCACUGCGGAUUACACAGCGAUAAUAGUGCUGACAUAUAACCCCGCUUGCACUGUUAGCGAGCACAGGACUUACAGAAAGGUGCACCAUUUCUUUGCAGCUAUUUCCUAAGUGUUUACCCAGCUGACAACAUUUUGUAUUUAGUACUUAUUUAGUUUAAGGAGUAAAAUAACAAAGGCUUUAGGCAAACUCACAAGAAAAUUCUAUGUACCAAUGUAAUCUUUCCAGCAGGCUCCCAGAGCUUACGAUUCCUAUAGAAUUUUUUUCUCCAGCUUUCCAGCCUCUCAUGCUAUUGAUCAUGUUUGUGUGCUUGUUUUACGCUGCACUUCUACUGGUUAUGGCAUAGUUGUCUUCAGAUUUAUUGUCCAUAUUUGCAACGUCCUGAUAAACACGACUCUUACUCCAGAGGAGUACAAAGGACACACUUCAGACCCUUGUAGUCCCAACAUGUGUGGUUUCCUCACACCAGGAAAGCCUGGAAGCGAGCCGCCUGGCCUGGUGCCAACCCAAACCACGGUCAGUCUAAACACAGCGCCGGCAAACGCUACUUUCUGACACUUCGCUGCUACUGGAGAGUAUCCUUUAGCAUUGGAACCUCGUCAGUGACUGAGAUUUAUACACAGCCUCUCGUGCAACUUCCUUCAUCUCAUCUCUUCCCUCCCCGAACAAAUUUCUACCAGCCCAGCACAGAGGAACCAGAGAGAAACGCUUGUGUGAUAUCAUCUUAUGUUACCUGGGCAUUUACCUAAGAGGGUUCAAAUGUAUUUGCCACCUUCCUAAUGAGUGUACUGUUCUUAACAAAGUAGACAAGGUUUCAUGCUAAAAGAUGAGAGACCUUGAACUGCAGUAGCAUGAACAACUCUGUUGUAAUAAAAGUGUCAGAUGGCAUGGGCCUGGAAAACACAUUCACAUCAAUACUAACAGGCUUAGGAGAGAUACAGAGCAGCAUGAGCUACUCGUGAAGAAGGACUUUGACUACAGAACAGACCUCCCCUGCACCCCUCGGCCCUUCUUUGAGGAACUCGUCUAUAAAUGGAACAGCAGAAAUGGGGAGGGAGGAAAGGGAAAUAGGAUGUGACUCGAGGACCUGCGCUGCGACCACAGAUGUCCACUGCUAGACACACACUGACGUCAAGAGGAUCAUGCCCUCAAAUUAGUACAUAGCAAGAGAACAAGGCUGGGAUCUUUGAAACUACUCAGGAUUGGGUUUGCUUUACAAAUGUCUCUAGUAAAAGUGCUAUUAGACAAAUAUUUCUGAAAGUACCCUCUUCGAAGCUGAUGCCACUGACCAUGUAUCUACCCUACAUUCUUCUUCUAGGGAAGCAGUUUUCAGUGUUGUCUCAUCCUCCUUUUUACAAAGGACCACUCAUUCUUCCCGAAGUCUUACUCUUUUGUUUUUUUCUCUCAUCUUCUGAGAUUUAAUCAAGUGAACAUUCAGCAGAAUAGUUUGGUAUUUUGUGAACACAAUUCUUUUUUUAUCCAAUUGAGGCCCUUUUGUGAUCACGAAAAAAAGAAAACUGUUGUGAGCUACAGGCUGUUUACACUGUUAAGAGGUUGAUACGGGUCAGUUCUCUAAGGUUAUUCUUAGUUCAACUGCUAUGUAAACUGUUGAUGUCACUGACUGGAGGCUGCUCUCCAGGACAUUAUAUAUAUGAUAAUUAUAUGACAGAAAAUGCAACAUAUAGUUGGAUCUGACCUCCAAGUUCACUAGUUUAAAAAAGGAAAAAAAUGUCUGUAAGAAACUUGCUGUUUUUCCUGUUACUAAAACAUAAUAAACCCCUUCAAGUUUACACUUACUUAGUCUACUGCAUAUGCAAGAGGCUUUCCUCACAUGGACAGCAAUGCCCAUCUAUCUUCAACCUAUGGUACAUUUUAAGUCUCAAAGAAGUUCACUGCCUCCAGAAAGUAUUUUUGAAACAAAACAGGCAAAAUCUAUUUCAUAACUAACUAGAUAAGCAUCUGAAACUAGGAUCUUAACUCUUACAUAAACAUUUUAUGUUACUGUACAAAGGAAUCUGAGACAGAUUUUUCAGAGAAAUCACAAAUCAUCAAAAAUGAAUUAAGUAACAAACAAGGGAUUCAAGAAAAGCAGCACUUCCUCACUUAGCACGUUUUCCUUGAUCUUCAUCAGCAUUCAGAAUUACAGCUGCUGAUAUUACCACAAAAGCGUGUUUUUACUGAUUUUUCUUCCUCUUCCUGUAGAGCAAGCACAGCUGCAGAAAUGCAAGCUCAUUUCUAGGCUUUUUUGUACAUCGCCAGUUUACCACAUUCCAGCCAUUCAUAGCUGUGCAACACCCCCAUCGUGGUACUGGGAGUACCGCAAUGUCACAGACAGUUUAAAUGAGGUUCAUGGAGCUAUAUAAUUGUAACUAUAUUUUAUAUGCAUAAUUAAAUGAUGCAUGACAUGGAAAUAAGCCAGCUUUGCUGAAACAGAACAAACUAACUGCUCUGACGCAACAGUCAAGCAUCUUGUCAGUUAUAAAAUCAAACAUGCUUAAAGCAAAAAUUAUUUAGAAAACAGGAUGCUUGAUAUUGUAAAGUAGCAUGUUCAAAGGAUCAUUUUUAGAACGUUAAGGAAAUGUACUAAUCCAGUCAAGUUUUCAAAAGAAUUCCUGGCUCCAAAAUGUUAUCCUCUGCUUUCUGUUUCACGGUGUUGUAAGAAUGGAUCACUCUUAGGGGGAAAAAAUCAUGUAUGUAAAACACUGCAUGAAGCUAAACAGUUCUUAGACGAGGCUAAUUUCCAUGUAGAGCUGAGGAUUUAGCAUUGUCAGCCUUCAACAGAGGAGACAGGAUUGCAUGUCUUUAGUUCACUUAUUUAAGAUGAAAAAGCAAGAAGGAGUGGAAAUUCAAUCCUGCUUCAAUUUACUUCAGUGGCAAAACCCUUGCCAUAACUUUAGUGGGAGUGAGAAUACAUCUUAAUUCGUUCAAUGCAAAGAAGAAAAAAAUCAGCUGAGAAUAAUGUUCUUGUUUAUUAGAUAUAAAUUACUGCCAUGAUUGUUUUUAACAGUGUUAAGUUUUAAAAGCCAAAGGUUGCCUUCAGUCUCGCCUUUUCCUAUGUGCUGUGUCACAACGCAGGAUCCUGGUCCUCUGACCAAACCAGCACUGGUCACAGCAAGCGUGGCUUGAAUUUGGGACAUGGUCACAUUCCCGCAUGGCAAUCAUAUUUGUUUGUGAAUGUCAGUGUGGAUAUGUCACCAGUGACAAUGUCCAAAUCUGGGCUGGGGCUCACCCCCCUAGCCAAGAAAGCAGAGUGCACACUUCUGUAAUAUAGAUGUAUUCUUAUGAGUUAUAAAUGUAGUCUUAGGAAGAGCAGCUGAGGCAACUGGGGUUGU
Harpia harpyja (harpy eagle) is the source of this 3623-nucleotide long non-coding RNA. RefSeq lists it as uncharacterized. Lineage: Eukaryota; Metazoa; Chordata; Aves; Accipitriformes; Accipitridae. The record is from RefSeq and is a predicted model, not a curated record. The transcript has 4 exons.